Molecule: ribosomal RNA, 521 nt
Filed under: uncultured bacterium
Lineage: Bacteria
Description: bacterial SSU rRNA
Rfam family: Bacterial small subunit ribosomal RNA
Source: RNAcentral
AAUGAACGUUGGCGGCGUGGAUUAGGCAUGCAAGUCGAGCGGUAGGGAGCCGCUCACCGAACCUCCGGUAUUUUUGUCGGGGGUCAGGUGAGCGGCUCCUGAGAGCGGCGAAAGGGAGAGUAACGCGUAGUUACGUACCCCGAGGUCUGGAAUAGCCACGGGAAACUGUGGGUAAUGCCGGAUAAUAUCCUCGGAUCAAAGGUGUGAUUCCGCCUUGGGAGCGGACUGCGUUGUACUAGCUAGUUGGUAGGGUAAUGGCCUACCAAGGCGAUGAUGCAUAGCGGGCGUGAGAGCGUGGCCCGUCUCACUGGGACUGAGACACUGCCCAGACACCUACGGGUGGCUGCAGUCGAGAAUCUUCGGCAAUGAGCGCAAGCUUGACCGAGCGACGCCGCGUGCGGGAUGAAGGCCUUCGGGUUGUAAACCGCUGUCGUAGGGGAGGAAGGCUCCGUGAAGAACGGGGUUUGACCUAUCCUAGGAGGAAGGACGGGCUAAGUUCGUGCCAGCCGCCGCCGUAAUAC